CCUACGGGUGGCAGCAGUGAGGAAUAUUGGUCAAUGGGCGGGAGCCUGAACCAGCCAAGUCGCGUGAGGGAAGACGGUCCUACGGAUUGUAAACCUCUUUUGCCGGGGAGCAACGGGGUCCUUGCGAGGGCCCAAUGAGAGUACCCGGAGAAAAAGCAUCGGCUAACUCCGUGCCAGCAGCCGCGGUAAUACGGAGGAUGCGAGCGUUAUCCGGAUUUAUUGGGUUUAAAGGGUGCGUAGGCGGGCUGUUAAGUCAGCGGUCAAAUUGAGGGGCUCAACCCCUGCCCGCCAUUGAAACUGGCGCUCUUGAGUGGAAGAGAAGUAUGCGGAAUGCGUGGUGUAGCGGUGAAAUGCAUAGAUAUCACGCAGAACCCCGAUUGCGAAGGCAGCAUGCCGGCUUCCGACUGACGCUGAAGCACGAAAGCGUGGGGAUCGAACAGGAUUAGAUACCCCUGUAGUC
RNAcentral lists this ribosomal RNA (460 nucleotides) under uncultured bacterium. RNAcentral describes it as "partial 16S ribosomal RNA". It matches the Rfam family "Bacterial small subunit ribosomal RNA", at positions 338 to 795 of the family's 1533-position model. The record is from RNAcentral.